GUUCUCAGCACCCAUGGGUGCUCGGUGGUGGUCCCAUGGUUGGUGUCAUCUUGUUCUUGGCACCCAUGGGUGCUCUGGGGUGGGUUUCUGGUGGUGUCAUCUUGUUCUUGGCACCCAUGGGUGCUCUGGGGUGGUCCCAUGGGUGGUGUCACGUUGUUCUCAGCACCCAUGGGUGCUCGUGGUGGUCUCAUGAGUUUCUGGGUGGUGCUGUGUCAUCCUUGGCACCCAUGGGUGCUCCGUGGUUGCCUUCCAGAUGGUGUUAUGUCCUCCUCGGCACCCAUGGGUGCUCGGUGGUGGUCCCAUGGGUGGUGUCAUCUUGUUCUUGGCACCCAUGGGUGCUUGGUGGUGGCCUUCUGGGUGGUUUUGAUGUCCUCAGCACCCAUGGGUGCUCAGCGGUGCCUGGAGGCAUUGGCCUGAGGGCUUUGUGGCCAAUGGGUGCUGCUGGUGACCCAUGGGUGCCCCCAUGACCCAUGGGUGCUCUUGGUGGUCAAUGGGUGCUCCCCAUGACCCAUGGGUGCUGCUGGUGGUCCCAUGGGUGCCCCCCCUGCCCAAGGCCUGACCCCGCUGCCUGUGGGCAUCUCCAGGACUUGCGCACCCGAAACACCUCGGGGUGCCCCGCAGCACCUUGGGGUGCCCCAAUAACACCCCCAAGGCGCCCCAUAGCACCCUUGGGUGCCCCAUAGCACCUUUGGGUGCCCUAUAACCACCUCAGGGCGCCCCCUACCACCCCUUAGACCACCCCCUACCACCUUGGGGCACCCCAUAACACCCUCAAGGCACCCUGUAGCACCUUUGGGUGCCCCAUAACACCCCUUAGACCACCCCCUACCACCUCAAGGUGCCCCAGAGCACCCUCAAGACACCCCA
This 867-nucleotide long non-coding RNA is filed under the name Anas platyrhynchos platyrhynchos (common mallard). Its description in RNAcentral is "lncRNA (ENSAPLG00000019731.1)". Lineage: Eukaryota; Metazoa; Chordata; Aves; Anseriformes; Anatidae. The record is from RNAcentral.